RNAcentral lists this ribosomal RNA (253 nucleotides) under uncultured bacterium. RNAcentral's name for it is "partial 16S ribosomal RNA". It matches the Rfam family "Bacterial small subunit ribosomal RNA", at positions 524 to 776 of the family's 1533-position model. The record is from RNAcentral.
UACGUAGGGUGCAAGCGUUAAUCGGAAUUACUGGGCGUAAAGCGUGCGCAGGCGGCACAUUAAGUCAGAUGUGAAAUCCCCGGGCUUAACCUGGGAAUGGCAUUUGAGACUGAUGAGCUAGAGUGUAUCAGAGGGGGGUAGAACUCCACGUGUAGCAGUGAAAUGCGUAGAGAUGUGGAAGAACACCGAUGGCGAAGGCAGCCCCCUGGGAAGACACUGACGCUCAGGCACGAAAGCGUGGGGAGCAAACAGG